This 273-nucleotide small RNA is filed under the name Triticum aestivum (bread wheat). The stretch from base 101 to 273 matches the Rfam family "U2 spliceosomal RNA". From Rfam's summary of the family: U2 is a small nuclear RNA (snRNA) component of the spliceosome (involved in pre-mRNA splicing). Complementary binding between U2 snRNA (in an area lying towards the 5' end but 3' to hairpin I) and the branchpoint sequence (BPS) of the intron results the bulging out of an unpaired adenosine, on the BPS, which initiates a nucleophilic attack at the intronic 5' splice site, thus starting the first of two transesterification reactions that mediate splicing. The record is from RNAcentral. Lineage: Eukaryota; Viridiplantae; Streptophyta; Magnoliopsida; Poales; Poaceae.
GGAGGCAAGCAAGCAGCUCGUUUCGUUUAGUACCACCUCGCCGAGCGAAGAGGGGACGGGAGGGCGUGAGGGUACAAAUAGAAGGGCAGGACAGCGUGUCAACCUUUCUCGGCCUUUUGGCUAAGAUCAAUUUUAGUAUCUGUUCUUAUCAAUUUAAUAUCUGAUAUGUAAGGUACACCCUCAUAACAAUAUUAAAUUUAUUUUUUAUAGGAGAGGGUCCACCACAGUGGCUCGCCCGUGUCUUGCACUACUGCACGGGCUGGCGCACCCCAA